AGAUUGAACGCUGGCGGCAGGCCUAACACAUGCAAGUCGAGCGGCAGCACGGGUACUUGUACCUGGUGGCGAGCGGCGGACGGGUGAGUAAUGCCUAGGAAUCUGCCUGGUAGUGGGGGAUAACGCUCGGAAACGGACGCUAAUACCGCAUACGUCCUACGGGAGAAAGCAGGGGACCUUCGGGCCUUGCGCUAUCAGAUGAGCCUAGGUCGGAUUAGCUAGUUGGUGGGGUAAUGGCUCACCAAGGCGACGAUCCGUAACUGGUCUGAGAGGAUGAUCAGUCACACUGGAACUGAGACACGGUCCAGACUCCUACGGGAGGCAGCAGUGGGAAUAUUGGACAAUGGGCGAAAGCCUGAUCCAGCCAUGCCGCGUGUGUGAAGAAGGUCUUCGGAUUGUAAAGCACUUUAAGUUGGAGAAGGCAGUUACCUAAUACGUAUCUGUUUUGACGUUACCGACAGAAUAAGCACGGCUAACUCUAGUGCCAGCACG
Molecule: ribosomal RNA, 492 nt
Filed under: uncultured soil bacterium
Lineage: Bacteria
Description: bacterial SSU rRNA
Rfam family: Bacterial small subunit ribosomal RNA
Source: RNAcentral